GACGAGACCAUCUCUUAGUAUCAGCAGUCCAGCUGAGCAUUAGCCUGGCCUCAGUAAAUUAGUAUUUAUGCUUGGUUUAGCAAAGGGUAAACGUAUGAUAUUUGCGUGCCUGCGCUGGUCUGAUUUUCUGUUUCACACCUAGCUCUUUAACUCAUCGGGGUUGCUGGGCCCCCUCCCUCUGGCCUUGGACAGAGCUCUUCAGAGUCAGGUAAACAGCAAUAAUCCCUCCUCACGUCCUGGGCAGAAGUAAUUUUAAUUAUGAGGCUAGCUUAGCUUUUGAAUAAUUUCUUUUCCAACUUGUUAAGCGGUAUCGCAUGGUUUCAGUGCACUGAAUUGGGCAAUUGAGAGAGCUGAGCUUGCUUUCUCCAAAUUCUGGAAACUCGGUUGCCAGCUGUGCCAUUUUGGGCAUUUUUAUUUAACUUCUCUGACCUUCAAUUUUGCCAUCCAUAACAUGGGGAUAGCGUCACUUACUUUACAGGGUUGUUAUGAAUAUUUAGUAAGUUUAUACAUGUAAAUACUGCCUUUCAUUUGGCUCCACCCCUGAAGCAGGCCUGAGAGAGACUCUGAGAGCAGGUUGUAUAUCUGGGAGGCAAACUCAGGCAGAAACUGUGGGGGGAUGAGAUAAGGAAGGGAGAGAAGCCCAUAGGGGUGUGUUAAUGAGCCAGUUACCGCGUGGGAAACUUGGGCUCAAUCCCACCCGCGAGAAACCGAGCGGAACCUGCCGGCGAAUCACGGCCCCAGAGGCUGGGAAUCUGGCUCCAGCCUGCACGGGCUGAAGCUGCCUCUGGGGGUGUUAUUCCCCCAAACACACCCACCUCAGCAAUUCUGGGUCCCUUGUGUCCUGUGGUGCUGGAGGAAGCCCGCAGGCACAGAAGAAAGACGGAGGCGGGUGCUCGAGGUGGGAAGCUGUCAGCAGGCCAGGAACAGUCCGCAGCGACAGGACCCAGAACCCAAUAAAAGAACAGUAAAAAUCCUUCAAGCAAAAAAGUGGUCUUGGUUAUCACAGAGCCCCAGAUUUUUCUGGUCACAGUGAAGAAGAGACCUGAAAUUGCCAGGAACCUCCCAAUGAGACCACCCCUCUCUGGUGAGAUGGUGAGGCAUUUUGGCUAUCUCCUCUAAGCAGACACCGUACUUUCCAGGUGCUGGCCUCGGUCCUUCUUUCACUGGACCCAUCCUGGAUCUCAUGGUGUUCUAGGCUCAGCCUGACUCCAGGCUCCCUCUCCUACAAGUCUAGACUUCCAGGCUGAUGGCCUGGGGCAUCCUCUCCACACACAGGAGCUCCAAAUACCACAGAUCUGGGCCAGCUCAUUAUCCUUCAUCUCUGCUUCUUUAGGUCACAGGAGUAAAUGCCUCAGGAAUAAGGAGGACCACGCAUGCCAAGGCAGCCCCUGAACCCUUACUCUACACCUGCCCUGAAGAGAAUCCCCGUUGUUGCUCCUAUUGGCCUGAGGACCCACCGGGACCUCAUGUGCAUUGGAGACAGGCAGCACCUAGGGAGGAGAGGUUGAGGGCAACUGUCGUGCUUGGCGUCAGUAAGAUGCCCAAGCGUGGCUCCAAGAGCCUGUCUGCCUUUUGCUGAUGGGCUGACAACAUGUGUCCAAAGGUCACAGUGUAGUUGCACAGGAGACAGGAUCUAAGUCCCCUUCCACCUGUGAUCGUGUCCCCUCAUUGGCUUUCCAACAUCUGCUGGCGCGUUCCUAAUGCUUAGAAGGCAUUUAAUAAACCACAUCCAUUAUUACCAUCUGUGCCACUUUGGAUAAAUUAUGUUCCCCCAAAAGCCAUAUUUUUUAAUGCAAUUUUGUGGGGGCAGAGUUGUUAAUCUUUUUGAUUAGGGUAUGACGUCUUGAUUGAAUGUUUCCAUGGAGAUU
Molecule: long non-coding RNA, 1868 nt
Organism: Choloepus didactylus (southern two-toed sloth)
Lineage: Eukaryota; Metazoa; Chordata; Mammalia; Pilosa; Megalonychidae
Exons: 3
Source: RefSeq, a predicted model, not a curated record